CCCAGAGCUCCAACGGCGUGAGCGAAGUGGCGGGAAACAUAGCAAGCGCACAGAAAAGAGGAGAAGUGGAGAAGAAUAUGGAGAACAACAACAGGUACACAAGAAUUCUUUCUGCUCCUACAGAAGUUUGUUAUUCCAAUUUGAGAUCAUCACUUCACAGACUACUGACAGGGAGUGCCGUGAUGAAGAUGCCAUCACGUGGGAGG
This 206-nucleotide long non-coding RNA is filed under the name Scleropages formosus (Asian bonytongue). RNAcentral's name for it is "lncRNA (ENSSFOG00015024552.1)". The record is from RNAcentral. Lineage: Eukaryota; Metazoa; Chordata; Actinopteri; Osteoglossiformes; Osteoglossidae.